UACAGAGGUCCCAAGCGUUGUUCGGAUUCACUGGGCGUAAAGGGUGCGUAGGUGGUCGGGUAAGUCUGAUGUGAAAGCUCUGGGCUCAACCCAGAAAUGGCAUUGGAUACUAUCCGGCUAGAGGAGUGGAGGGGGGACUGGAAUACUUGGUGUAGCAGUGAAAUGCGUAGAUAUCAAGUGGAACACCAGUGGCGAAGGCGAGUCCCUGGACACUUCCUGACACUGAGGCACGAAAGCUAGGGGAGCAAACAGG
This 253-nucleotide ribosomal RNA is filed under the name uncultured bacterium. RNAcentral describes it as "partial 16S ribosomal RNA". It matches the Rfam family "Bacterial small subunit ribosomal RNA", at positions 524 to 776 of the family's 1533-position model. The record is from RNAcentral.